This 510-nucleotide ribosomal RNA is filed under the name Triticum aestivum (bread wheat). RNAcentral's name for it is "partial small subunit ribosomal RNA". The record is from RNAcentral. Lineage: Eukaryota; Viridiplantae; Streptophyta; Magnoliopsida; Poales; Poaceae.
AUGAAUAAUGUGCCUUUCACCAAUAGGGCUUUGAGGGGUCUAUGUGGUGAAAUCAGCCAAGAUCAAGCAGACGAUGAUGUUCGGAAAACUAUGGAUGUCUUUGCAGAAUUGGGUUCAAAGGAUUCUGGUUUAUACUACAGAGUACAACCAGACAGUGAUAGUCAGAUAAGGAAUUUACUGUGGUCAACUGGUGCAAACAGAAUGCAGUACCAUUAUUUCAGAGAUGCAUUAACAUUUGACACAACAUACCAUACAAACCUCUAUGAUAUGCCAUUUGGGCUGUUUGUUGGAGUUAACAACCACUUUCAGAGCAUUAUCUUCGGUGGUGUGCUUGUUAGGGAUGAGACAGCUGAAACUUUCAAGUGCGUGUUCAACGAAUUCAUCCGCAUGAUGGGCGACAAACAUCCUCAGACCAUUCUUACAGAGUCCGUGUUGGCGGUGCACCUGACGAUCGGCCCCAUGUGCUGCGAUGAUGAGUGCAUUGGAGGUAUAUUACAAAUAUAUGCAUGA